RNAcentral lists this ribosomal RNA (468 nucleotides) under uncultured bacterium. RNAcentral describes it as "partial 16S ribosomal RNA". It matches the Rfam family "Bacterial small subunit ribosomal RNA", at positions 28 to 507 of the family's 1533-position model. The record is from RNAcentral.
GACGAACGCUGGCGGCGUGCUUAACACAUGCAAGUCGAACGGAAAGGCCCUGCUUUUGUGGGGUGCUCGAGUGGCGAACGGGUGAGUAACACGUGAGUAACCUGCCCUUGACUUUGGGAUAACUUCAGGAAACUGGGGCUAAUACCGGAUAGGAGCUCCUGCUGCAUGGUGGGGGUUGGAAAGUUUCGGCGGUUGGGGAUGGACUCGCGGCUUAUCAGCUUGUUGGUGGGGUAGUGGCUUACCAAGGCUUUGACGGGUAGCCGGCCUGAGAGGGUGACCGGCCACAUUGGGACUGGGAUACGGCCCAGACUCCUACGGGAGGCAGCAGUGGGGAAUAUUGCACAAUGGGCGGAAGCCUGAUGCAGCAACGCCGCGUGCGGGAUGACGGCCUUCGGGUUGUAAACCGCUUUCGCCUGUGACGAAGCGUGAGUGACGGUAAUGGGUAAAGAAGUACCGGCUAACUACGUG